This is a long non-coding RNA of Oncorhynchus keta (chum salmon), 1735 nucleotides long. RefSeq lists it as uncharacterized. The transcript is spliced from 3 exons. The record is from RefSeq and is a predicted model, not a curated record. Lineage: Eukaryota; Metazoa; Chordata; Actinopteri; Salmoniformes; Salmonidae.
UAGUGUGUGUCAACUGUGCUGCUGAAGUGCUGUAUAAUUCUAUUCAGUCAAUUAUGUGUAGUGCAUUUGAACAGAGUUUGCACUUAUCCAAAGUGCACUUCCCUGGAGUUGACUGCAAUGUAAUUACAUGGGGUUGUCAUGUGUCCGUGGGUUCAAAUGACGUUGAGGUGUGUUGAGGUACAAUACUAGCCAGAGAGCUCAUUAGGUUUCAGGGACUUAACUCCAUGUGGUUGGUGAACUGUGAGGAGAGAUGUGUAUGUGUGGUUGGUGAACUGUGAGGAGAGAUGUGUUUAAAGGUGUAUGUGUGGUUGGUGAACUGUGAGGAGAGAUGUGUUUAAAGGUGUAUGUGUGGUUGGUGAACUGUGAGGAGAGAUGUGUUUAAAGGUGUAUGUGUGGUUGGUGAACUGUGAGGAGAGAUGUGUUUAAAGGUGUAUGUGUGGUUGGUGAACUGUGAGGAGAGAUGUGUUUAAAGGUGUAUGUGUGGUUGGUGAACUGUGAGGAGAGAUGUGUUUAAAGGUGUAUGUGUGGUUGGUGAACUGUGAGGAGAGAUGUGUUUAAAGGUGUAUGUGUGGUUGGUGAACUGUGAGGAGAUGUGUUUAAAGGUGUAUGUGUGGUUGGUGAACUGUGAGGAGAGAUGUGUUUAAAGGUGUAUGUGUGGUUGGUGAACUGUGAGGAGAGAUGUGUAUGUGUGGUUGGUGAACUGUGAGGAGAGAUGUGUUUAAAGGUGUAUGUGUGGUUGGUGAACUGUGAGGAGAGAUGUGUUUAAAGGUGUAUGUGUGGUUGGUGAACUGUGAGGAGAGAUGUGUUUAAAGGUGUAUGUGUGGUUGGUGAACUGUGAGGAGAGAUGUGUUUAAAGGUGUAUGUGUGGUUGGUGAACUGUGAGGAGAGAUGUGUUUAAAGGUGUAUGUGUGGUUGGUGAACUGUGAGGAGAUGUGUUUAAAGGUGUAUGUGUGGUUGGUGAACUGUGAGGAGAGAUGUGUUUAAAGGUGUAUGUGUGGUUGGUGAACUGGAACUUUCCAUCACCUCCGUGCAGCUGAAGUUGUGUUGGAAUGUCAGAGUGAUAAAGUAGUACUGAGCUUCUUCAGGGAGACUAUUUUUAACUCCUCAAUAAACAUGUGGGAAUCAAAAUAAACCCUCAAUUGUUGCGUCUCUAAUAAUAAUAAUUUUGGGGGUGUUUAUAUUUGUCCUGUCACUUUCACAAGUGUGUAAUGAAAAAGUGUUUUCUUGCAUAUCACAACUCCCUCGGAGACACCCGCUGAGAGUGGGAUCACAGCCGUGGCUCAUAUCACAACUCCCUCGGAGACACCCGCUGAGAGUGGGAUCACAGCCGUGGCUCAUAUCACAACUCCCUCGGAGACACCCGCUGAGAGUGGGAUCACAGCCGUGGCUCAUAUCACAACUCCCUCGGAGACACCCGCUGAGAGUGGGAUCACAGCCGUGGCUCAUAUCACAACUCCCUCGGAGACACCCGCUGAGAGUGGGAUCACAGCCGUGGCUCAUAUCACAACUCCCUCGGAGACACCCGCUGAGAGUGGGAUCACAGCCGUGGCUCAUAUCACAACUCCCUCGGAGACACCCGCUGAGAGUGGGAUCACAGCCGUGGCUCAUAUCACAACUCCCUCGGAGACACCCGCUGAGAGUGGGAUCACAGCCGUGGCUCAUAUCACAACUCCCUCAGAGAAACCCGCUGAGAGUGGGAUCACAGCCGUGGCUCAUAUCACAACUCCCUCGGAGA